RNAcentral lists this ribosomal RNA (301 nucleotides) under uncultured bacterium. RNAcentral's name for it is "partial 16S ribosomal RNA". It matches the Rfam family "Bacterial small subunit ribosomal RNA", at positions 509 to 807 of the family's 1533-position model. The record is from RNAcentral.
CAGCCGCCACGGUAAUACGUAGGUGGCAAGCGUUGUCCGGAAUUAUUGGGCGUAAAGGGCUCGCAGGCGGUCUCUUAAGUCUGAUGUGAAAGCCCCCGGCUCAACCGGGGAGGGUCAUUGGAAACUGGGAAACUUGAGUGCAGAAGAGGAGAGUGGAAUUCCACGUGUAGCGGUGAAAUGCGUAGAGAUGUGGAGGAACACCAGUGGCGAAGGCGACUCUCUGGUCUGUAACUGACGCUGAGGAGCGAAAGCGUGGGGAGCGAACAGGAUUAGAUACCCCCGUAGUCCCUGUCUCUUAUAC